GUGAAUUUUAAUUGCUGUUUUUAAAAGAGAUUUUUGACUUUUCUGUUCUUUUACAGAACACUAUUGCACACAAAAUGCUCUUACUCAGCAGAUGGGGACAGCUACCAUCACCCAAUUUUCUUUUGCACAAGCUGUGCAAAAGUGGCUGCGCUAUGCGCCAGACCGGGCAGGAGGGACUGGACGACAACUUAUGCAGGCAUCAGAUGACAAUGAAGUGUAAAUAAAGAGCAGAGAGGCUAAUAAACAUGAAUUUGAUUUUAAA
This is a long non-coding RNA of Carassius carassius (crucian carp), 262 nucleotides long. RefSeq lists it as uncharacterized. The transcript has 2 exons. NCBI's taxonomy places the organism in Eukaryota, Metazoa, Chordata, Actinopteri, Cypriniformes, Cyprinidae. The record is from RefSeq and is a predicted model, not a curated record.